This 3886-nucleotide long non-coding RNA is filed under the name Salmo salar (Atlantic salmon). Its description in RNAcentral is "lncRNA (ENSSSAG00000110488.1)". The record is from RNAcentral. Lineage: Eukaryota; Metazoa; Chordata; Actinopteri; Salmoniformes; Salmonidae.
GGACGAUCAAUAUUUAUUCUUGUUUUCUAGAACACAACUUGAACCUUCCGUAGGAGGAACCCAAGUGGUGGACCUGGUUUCAAGGACAGAAAAGUCUACAAAUGCAAUUUCUUCAGUUGAUUUUUACAUUUGCCAUAUUGUGUUUAAUACCGUAUUAUCAGACAAAAAAAAACAUAAUUUGGUGCAGCUUGCCAGCUCAGAGUUCAAAACAAUACUAAACACUGCAUUGGAGAAGAGGACAAAAGCAGUGUUGGAGACCAUCUGUUGGAGGCCAUCUGUUGGAGGCCAUCUGUUGGAGGCCAUCUGUUGGAGGCCAUCUGUUGGAGGCCAUCUGUUGGAGACCAUCUGUUGGAGGCCAUCUGUUGGAGAACAUCUGUUGGAGGCCAUCUGUUGGAGACCAUCUGUUGGAGGUCAUCUGUUGGAGGUCAUCUGUUGGAGGCCAUCUGUUGGAGACCAUCUGUUGGAGACCAUCUGUUGGAGACCAUCUGUUGGAGGCCAUCUGUUGGAGACCAUCUGUUAGAGGCCAUCUGUUGGAGGCCAUCUGUUGGAGACCAUCUGUUGGAGGCCAUCUGUUGGAGGCCAUCUGUUGGAGGCCAUCUGUUGGAGGCCAUCUGAUGGAGGCCAUCUGUUGGAGGCCAUCUGUUGGAGACCAUCUGUUGGAGGCCAUCUGUUGGAGGCCAUCUGUUGGAGACCAUCUGUUGGAGGCCAUCUGUUGGAGACCAUCUGUUGGAGGCCAUCUGUUGGAGGCCAUCUGUUGGAGACCAUCUGUUAGAGGCUAUCUGUUGGAGGCCAUCUGUUGGAGACCAUCUGUUGGAGACCAUCUGUUAGAGGCCAUCUGUUGGAGACCAUCUGUUGGAGGCCAUCUGUUGGAGGCCAUCUGUUGGAGGCUAUCUGUUGGAGACCAUCUGUUGGAGACCAUCUGUUGGAGACCAUCUGUUGGAGACCAUCUGUUGGAGGCCAUCUGUUGGAGACCAUCUGUUAGAGGCCAUCUGUUGGAGACCAUCUGUUGGAGGCUAUCUGUUGGAGACCAUCUGUUGGAGACCAUCUGUUGGAGACCAUCUGUUGGAGGCCAUCUGUUGGAGACCAUCUGUUGGAGGCCAUCUGUUGGAGACCAUCUGUUAGAGGCCAUCUGUUGGAGGCCAUCUGUUGGAGACCAUCUGUUGGAGGCCAUCUGUUGGAGGCCAUCUGUUGGAGACCAUCUGUUAGAGGCUAUCUGUUGGAGGCCAUCUGUUGGAGGCCAUCUGUUGGAGGCUAUCUGUUGGAGACCAUCUGUUGGAGGCCAUCUGUUGGAGACCAUCUGUUGGAGGUCAUCUGUUGGAGGCCAUCUGUUGGAGGCCAUCUGUUGGAGACCAUCUGUUGGAGGCCAUCUGUUGGAGGCCAUCUGUUGGAGACCAUCUGUUGGAGGCCAUCUGUUAGAGGCCAUCUGUUGGAGGCCAUCUGUUAGAGGCCAUCUGUUGGAGACCAUCUGUUGGAGGCCAUCUGUUGGAGGCCAUCUGUUGGAGGCCAUCUGUUGGAGACCAUCUGUUGGAGACCAUCUGUUGGAGGCCAUCUGUUGGAGGCCAUCUGUUGGAGGCUAUCUGUUGGAGACCAUCUGUUGGAGGCCAUCUGUUGGAGACCAUCUGUUGGAGGUCAUCUGUUGGAGGCCAUCUGUUGGAGGCCAUCUGUUGGAGACCAUCUGUUGGAGGCCAUCUGUUAGAGGCCAUCUGUUGGAGGCCAUCUGUUAGAGGCCAUCUGUUGGAGACCAUCUGUUGGAGGCCAUCUGUUGGAGGCCAUCUGUUGGAGGCCAUCUGUUGGAGACCAUCUGUUAGAGACCAUCUGUUGGAGGCCAUCUGUUGGAGACCAUCUGUUGGAGGCCAUCUGUUGGAGGCCAUCUGUUGGAGACCAUCUGUUGGAGACCAUCUGUUGGAGGCCAUCUGUUGGAGGCCAUCUGUUGGAGGCUAUCUGUUGGAGACCAUCUGUUGGAGGCCAUCUGUUGGAGACCAUCUGUUGGAGGCCAUCUGUUAGAGGCCAUCUGUUGGAACGCACCUUUAUGUGAGGCAUAAUGAGGAAAUAUGUUUAGGUGAAAAUCAUGAAAAUCUUAGUACCAUUGCUGUAGUUCUAUACGCACAUUAGGACAGUAUAAUUGAAACUGUAAUACUAACUAACGAAAACAAUGUCUUAUUUCUGUUUUUCUUUCAUUUCAGAGGGUCAAGCAACAUGGUUGUCAAGGCGGAGUUAAAGCGGAGUCCCUUCUUCAAUCUCCCUGAAGAGGAGGAUCCUCUCCAAUCUCCCUGAAGAGGAGGCCCUUCUCCAAUCUCCCUGAAGAGGAGGAUCCUCUCCAAUCUCCCUGAAGAGGAGGAUCCUCUCCAAUCUCCCUGAAGAGGAGGCCCUUCUCCAAUCUCCCUGAAGAGGAGGAUCCUCUCCAAUCUCCAUGAACUGCUGACUUUAGAGGCGACAGUCAAUCUGCAGGGUGGUGUCUAGAGCCAGUAAACCUUUGGAUGACUGGCACAACACUCUAACCACUAGGCUACCUGCCGCCCCUACACUCUAACCACUAGGCUACCUGCCGCCCCUCCACUCUAACCACUUCGCUACCUGCCGCCCCUCCACUCUAACCACUAGGCUACCUGCCGCCCCUCCACUCUAACCACUAGGCUACCUGCCGCCCCUCCACUCUAACCACUAGGCUACCUGCCCCCCCUCCACUCUAACCACUAGGCUACCUGCCGCCUCUCCACUCUAACCACUAGGCUACCUGCCGCCCCUCCACUCUAACCACUAGGCUACCUGCCGCCCCUCCACUCUAACCACUAGGCUACCUGCCGCCCCUCCACUCUAACCACUAGGCUACCUGCCGCCCCUCCACUCUAACCACUUGGCUACCUGCCGCCCCUCCACUCUAACCCCUAGGCUACCUGCCGCCCCUACACUCUAACCACUAGGCUACCUGCCGCCCCUCCACUCUAACCACUAGGCUACCUGCCGCCCCUCCAGUCUAACCACUAGGCUACCUGCCGCCCCCCUACACUCUAAUUGGCUCAUCGCGCUCUAGCGACUCCUUGUGGCGGGCAGGGCGCCAGCAGGCUGAACCUGGUCGUCAGUUGAACAGUGUUUCGUCCGACACAGUGGUGCAGCUGGCUUCUGGAUUAAGCGGGGCUGGUGUUAAGAAUCGCGUUGUUUCCGGAGGUCACAUGACUCGACCUUCGCCUCUCCCGAGAGCCAGUUGGGGAGUUGCAGCGAUGAGACAAGAUCGUAAUCCCGAAAUUGUGGAGAAAAAAAAAGAGGAGAGUGUUUGAAUUUUGAGCAAUAGAAUAAGAAUUGGUCUUCCUCUGCACACACACAAGAAAAACAUUUUUAUAAUGUUUACUUUGUUAGUAGAAGCUUUAACUGGACCGUAGCUUAUUACUAACUAAAACUGUCAUUACACUAUAAGGUUUUUAUUCUACGAGAAACUAAAAUGGUCUGUUAUAUUCCAUUAUAUUCUUAAAAUAUAUGUGUUGAAUGAAUAUACACAAGGGAUGUCUUCUAAAUUAACAACUCGAUGGUAGAAUGCCAAACAAAAAAAGCCUCCACUGCAAAGCACAGAUCAAUAAAUAAAGAUUUCACACCUGAAUUAUUUAAUUUAGUUGUUAUAUUUAUUACAUUCACUUGUGGAAUGUCACUAAAUAGAUAACAACCAUAGAAUGGAGUGGUAGAGAGUCAGGUGGAGAAUGGAGUGGUAGAGUCAGGUGGAGAAUGGAGUGGUAGAGAGUCAGGUGGAGAAUGGAGUGGUAGAGUCAGGUGGAGAAUGGAUUGGUAGAGAGUCAGGUGGAGAAUGGAGUGGUAGAGAGUCAGGUGGAGAAUGGAGUGGUAGAGUCAGGUGGAGAAUGGAGUGGUAGAGAGUCAGGUGGAGAAUGGAGUGGUAGAG